ACUCCUACGGGAGGCAGCAGUAGGGAAUCUUCCACAAUGGGCGCAAGCCUGAUGGAGCAACACCGCGUGAGUGAAGAAGGGUUUCGGCUCGUAAAGCUCUGUUGUUAAAGAAGAACACGUAUGAGAGUAACUGUUCAUACGUUGACGGUAUUUAACCAGAAAGUCACGGCUAACUACGUGCCAGCAGCCGCGGUAAUACGUAGGUGGCAAGCGUUAUCCGGAUUUAUUGGGCGUAAAGAGAGUGCAGGCGUUUUCUAAGUCUGAUGUGAAAGCCUUCGGCUUAACCGGAGAAGUGCAUCGGAAACUGGAUAACUUGAGUGCAGAAGAGGGUAGUGGAACUCCAUGUGUAGCGGUGGAAUGCGUAGAUAUAUGGAAGGACACCAGUGGCGAAGGCGGCUACCUGGUCUGCAACUGACGCUGAGACUCGAAAGCAUGGGUAGCGAACAGGAUUAGAUACCCUGGUAGGAU
This 468-nucleotide ribosomal RNA is filed under the name uncultured bacterium. RNAcentral describes it as "bacterial SSU rRNA". It matches the Rfam family "Bacterial small subunit ribosomal RNA", at positions 335 to 796 of the family's 1533-position model. The record is from RNAcentral.